RNAcentral lists this ribosomal RNA (439 nucleotides) under uncultured bacterium. Its description in RNAcentral is "bacterial SSU rRNA". It matches the Rfam family "Bacterial small subunit ribosomal RNA", at positions 338 to 768 of the family's 1533-position model. The record is from RNAcentral.
CCUACGGGGGGCAGCAGUGGGGAAUAUUGCGCAAUGGUCGAAAGACUGACGCAGCGACGCCGCGUGUGGGAGGAAGCCUUUCGGGGUGUAAACCACUGUCAGACGGGAAGAACACUGCAUGUUCGAACAGGGCAUGCAAUUGACGGUACCGUCAGAGGAAGCGCCGGCUAACUCCGUGCCAGCAGCCGCGGUAAGACGGAGGGCGCAAGCGUUGUUCGGAAUUACUGGGCGUAAAGCGCGGGCAGGUGGUCUGUUAAGUCUCCUGUGAAACUCCGGGGCUCAACCCCGGACAUGCAGGAGAUACUGGCAGACUGGAGACCGGUAGAGGCUAGCGGAAUUCCUGGUGUAGCGGUGGAAUGCGUAGAUAUCAGGAAGAACACCGGUGGCGAAGGCGGCUAGCUGGGCCGGUUCUGACACUCAUCCGCGAAAGCGUGGGGAG